AUWUAUAUAGUUUAAAUUAAAAACAUUACAUUUUCAAUGUAAACAUAAAAUUUUAUUUUUAUAAAUA
Molecule: transfer RNA, 67 nt
Filed under: Scarabaeidae sp. BMNH 1274753
Lineage: Eukaryota; Metazoa; Arthropoda; Insecta; Coleoptera; Scarabaeidae
Description: tRNA-Glu
Source: RNAcentral